Molecule: non-coding RNA, 946 nt
Filed under: Gobionellus oceanicus (highfin goby)
Lineage: Eukaryota; Metazoa; Chordata; Actinopteri; Gobiiformes; Gobiidae
Description: partial small subunit ribosomal RNA
Rfam family: Bacterial small subunit ribosomal RNA
Source: RNAcentral
GCUUGGUCCUGACUUUACUGUCAGCUUUGGUUAAAUUUAUACAUGCAAGUAUCCGCACCCCUGUGAGAAUGCCCUACAUAUCCCCCUGCCGGAGAAAAGGAACAGACAUUAGGCACGACCCUAUGAUCAGCCCAAAACGUCUUGCUUGGCCACACCCUCAAGGGAUUUCAGCAGUAAUAAACAUUAAGCAAUAAGUGAAAACUUGACUUAGUUAAGACCAAAAGGGCCGGUUAAACUCGUGCCAGCCACCGCGGUUAUACGAGAGGCCCAAGUUGACAGAUGCCGGCGUAAAAUGUGGUUAUUACAGUAUUACACUAAAGUUAAACACCUUCAAAGCUGUUAUAAGCUCUUGGAGGCAGGAAGCCCGUCCACGAAAGUGACUUUAAAGAUAUGUACCACGAAAGCUAGGGAACAAACUGAGAUUAGAUACCUCACUAUGCCUAGCCCUAAACAAAGGUGCCCACCUUACACCUGCUGCUUGCCCGGGGACUACGAGCCCCAGCUUAAAACCCAAAGGACUUGGCGGUGCUUUAGACCCCCCUAGAGGAGCCUGUUCUAGAACCGAUAACCCCCGUUAAACCUCACCCUCCCUUGUUUUACCCGCCUAUAUACCGCCGUCGUCAGCUCACCCUAUGAAGGACAAACAGUGAGCACAAUUGGCAACACCCAAAACGCCAGGUCGAGGUGUAGCGUACGAGAGGGGAAGAAAUGGGCUACAUUCACUGACACAGUGAAAUACGAAAGAUAGCUUGAAACAACCAUCUGAAGGAGGAUUUAGCAGUAAGGAGGGAAAUAGAGCGUCCCCCUGAAACCGGCCCUGAAGCGCGCACACACCGCCCGUCACUCUCCCCGAAAAAACAGAAAGACCUACAUAAACAAAUAGUAAAAGAAAGGGGAGGCAAGUCGUAACAUGGUAAGUGUACCGGAAGGUGUACUUGGAUAAACC